GCCUUCGUAGUGUAGUGGUCAGUACACUAGACGCGUAUUCAAGAAGUCCGUGGUUCGAGUCCCAGCGAAGACA
RNAcentral lists this transfer RNA (73 nucleotides) under Stegodyphus mimosarum. It matches the Rfam family "tRNA". From Rfam's summary of the family: Transfer RNA (tRNA) molecules are approximately 80 nucleotides in length. Their secondary structure includes four short double-helical elements and three loops (D, anti-codon, and T loops). Lineage: Eukaryota; Metazoa; Arthropoda; Arachnida; Araneae; Eresidae. The record is from Rfam by way of RNAcentral.